This 508-nucleotide ribosomal RNA is filed under the name uncultured bacterium. Its description in RNAcentral is "partial 16S ribosomal RNA". The record is from RNAcentral.
GGAGUUAGCCGGUGCUUCUUCUGUGAGUGAUGUCCUUCCUGCCGGCUAUUAACCCGCAGGCCUUCUUCCUCACUGAAAGUGCUUUACAACCCGAAGGCCUUCUUCACACACGCGGCAUGGCUGGAUCAGGGUUGCCCCCAUUGUCCAAUAUUCCCCACUGCUGCCUCCCGUAGGAGUCUGGGCCGUGUCUCAGUCCCAGUGUGGCUGAUCAUCCUCUCAGACCAGCUACGGAUCGUCGCCUUGGUGAGCCGUUACCUCACCAACCAGCUAAUCCGACAUAGGCUCAUCCGAUAGCGCGAGGCCCGAAGGUCCCCCGCUUUCCCCCGUAGGGCGUAUGCGGUAUUAGCCUGGGUUUCCCCCAGGUUAUCCCCCACUACCGGGCAGAUUCCUAUGCAUUACUCACCCGUCCGCCGCUCGACACCAGGGAGCAAGCUCCCCGUGCUGCCGCUCGACUUGCAUGUGUUAGGCCUGCCGCCAGCGUUCAAUCUGAGCCAUAAUCAAACUCUGA